Molecule: ribosomal RNA, 413 nt
Filed under: Acanthamoeba sp.
Lineage: Eukaryota; Discosea; Longamoebia; Acanthamoebidae
Description: SSU rRNA
Rfam family: Eukaryotic small subunit ribosomal RNA
Source: RNAcentral
CCUCCAAUUUUCUGCCACCGAAUACAUUAGCAUGGGAUAAUGGAAUAGGACCCUGUCCUCCUAUUUUCAGUUGGUUUUGGCAGCGCGAGGACUAGGGUAAUGAUUAAUAGGGAUAGUUGGGGGCAUUAAUAUUUAAUUGUCAGAGGUGAAAUUCUUGGAUUUAUGAAAGAUUAACUUCUGCGAAAGCAUCUGCCAAGGAUGUUUUCAUUAAUCAAGAACGAAAGUUAGGGGAUCGAAGACGAUCAGAUACCGUCGUAGUCUUAACCAUAAACGAUGCCGACCAGCGAUUAGGAGACGUUGAAUACAAAACACCACCAUCGGUUGCGGUCGUCCUUGGCGUCUCGGUUUCGGCCGGGGCGCGGGGAUGGCUUAGCCCGGUGGCACCGGUGAAUGACUCCCCUAGCAGCUUGUGA